Non-coding RNA from Peromyscus maniculatus bairdii (prairie deer mouse), 3643 nucleotides. Lineage: Eukaryota; Metazoa; Chordata; Mammalia; Rodentia; Cricetidae. The record is from RefSeq and is a predicted model, not a curated record.
GCCACCCUGUACACACAGUGUUAAAAUAUCAGGGUACCCAAACCCCAAGCACAGCAAGGCUUCUAGCUGAGUGGAACCCAUGACAUGUUAGUCUGCCCUGGAUCUCACCAUUGGGCUCGUGACCACAACCAAACGGGAAGGGACUCAGGAUAAAAUCAAUUCAGAGUGUAGGACAGGCACAGAGCCACCCCAAGCCUUGGAGGUGCUUCUCGAAUGGACCAGGAAGACAUCAGGUAUUGUCCAAAUCCAUCUGUCUGGCCAAUGCAUCCAUCUAUGACAAAGGUCCGGUGGAAAAUUGCUGGAGGGGCUAGGAGGGGCCCCUUGGACACCCACCUCUGAAGUGUGGGCGGGAUGUGUGACACUCUGUACCAACAGUCGCCGCCAGAAGUGACAGGGUGUCUUUCCAUGAUUAGGCAUCCACGUAAAUAAGACUCCAUUUUGUGAGCAGGCAUGCAGGACUCUCCCUCGCUGGUCUUGAGGAAGCUGUUGUACCUCUUUACCAUGGCAAGGAGCCACGGGCAAAGUAGUGACUGAGAGCCGCUUCCCACCCGAAGCCAAAGCUGCGGCUUGAGGCUAAAAAGGAGUGCCCUCGACCUGCAGGAGCCCGGAAACAGAUCUCCACCUUCGAGCCUGCCUCGGAUGAAUAGCAGCCUGUGUCAAGGCUAGAGCCCAGAACCCAGCUGAGCCAAGCCCAGGCUUCUGGUUACAGAGACACUGAGGCACCAGUGUGUGAUUGUAAGCAGCUAAGUGCAUAAUCAUCUGUCUUGUGGCAAGAGCUGUCUAGUAAGGAGAGGAAGAAAUAACAUGGUCUGCAGGUCUCACACUUUUACACCCACCCUCCUUCCUCAGCUCCUCAAAUGUUGGCAUUACAGUAUCUACAGGUCAGCAGAAUCGAGCGUUCACAUGUUGUGUGCAACCAUCACCAUCCAUCUUCAGAUGUGCUCACGUGGAAAAAUGAAAACUCUUGGCCCCUUAAACACAAACUCCUCAUCCCACCCCACCCUCCGGCCGUGGAGGCACCCUUCUGCUUUCUGACUCCAUGAGUCCAGCCACUCUGGGGAAUUCAGGUAAAUGGAACCAUACAAUGCUUGUCCUUUUAUGACUCACUCGUUCCAUUCAGGAUUCCUUCGGAGUCCGUCUCCAGUCAAGCACAUGUCAGGACUCCCCUCUCCUCGAAGGCUGACUCUGUAUGUAUAUUAGAAGCUGCAGUUUGCAUCCCCCGCUGCACAUAUGGACCACAUCCUGCUUACCUAUCUGUCUGUGAUAGGCCCCUGUAUGUGAAUCAGGAUGCUAGCAACACAGAUGUGUGCGCAUCUCUUUGGGUCUCUGCUCUCAGUCCGUUAGGAAAUGGACCUAGAAGAACUGCGGGAUCACAUGGUACCCUAGGUUUAACUUUUUGGGGGACCCGCCAGGCUGUUUUUCACAGUGCCUAUAUUUGUUCCUAUUGCUAUUGGUAGCUGAGCACUUGGACACACCAGGCUGAAGUGGUAUGGGAAAGCAGGGGUGACGGGGAGUCCAUCUGGAAUAUAAGACCCCCAGCUCAUUGCAUCGGUGACAGAAAGAACCCCAGGAUGGGAACACCAUUAGCCGGAGACUUUUCCUAAUCAGGGACCCUUUUCUUUUCCUUGAAUAGUUGUUUCCUAAUGAGCCAGAGACGACCCUGUGUGGUGGUCUUCAACAUCUGUUGUUUAUGCCUGUCUGCCAGGCUAGGACUCAAAUACCACUGCUACCAAACUGAAAUUCUUGCAUACUUUAAGUCAAGGCCAUACAAAUAUGUAGAGCCAGCCUACUUUACAAAGUCCACGAAAGCAUGCCCAACAUCUGCUAACCCAACACAAGGCAGAUUCUGUUCUGUGAGAGACACUGUAUAGUCCGGCUUCUCCAGAGAAACAGAACCGUUAGGGUGUACAAACAUGUGAACAUAUAAUAGACAUGUAGACACAAUAUACUGUGUAUUAGUAUAGUGUGUGUAUACUAAUAUAAUAUAUGGUGUGCGUCUACAAUAUACUAGAUAGAUAGAUAGAUAGAUAGAUAGAUAGAUAGAUAGAUAGAUAGAUAGAUAGAUAGAUAGAUAUUGAAAAGGAAUUGGAUGACACAGUUAUGGAGGCUGAGAAUUCCUAAGGUGUGUGCUUGGCACACAGCAAGCUGACUGACCAGAACAGCCCUGAGGCAGGAGAAGGCAAUGUCCCAGCUCAGAGUCAGGCAGACCCCAAGUUCUCCCUAUAUGUCUUCCUUACUGGGGCCUGCAGCAGACUGAAGAGAACAUAUUACUUGACUCAGUCAGCAGGCACAUAGUUUCAUGCAGAGACAUCCUCAUACAGUACAGAUUUAUAUUCGGCUAAAUGCUCCAGCUCCUUAAGAGUGGAUUCCACCAGUCAGCCUCCAUAGGUUCACAACUGCCCUGGUCCUUUGAAAUGCUCUAGCCUAGAGCCUCCCGGUGACAAAGGCAGUCUCCUAUUCUCCUUCUCCCGGGGAGUUGCCUUGCCCUCUCUUGGAGUGGCUGCCCUGAUUGCAAUCCCAGAAGUUCCUUUGUUAGGAGCAGCUCUUGAGCUAGUCCGCAUGCCCCAGCACCGCCUUGAAACCUGUGCAGCAACAGCGCCACCUGGUGGUCUGCCUUCUUCCCGCCUCAGCCCCGAAAUCUUGAAGAGCCCCCUUUCCAAGACCAGAAGACCCCUUUUCUCCCUUCCGACCUCAUCCACGUGCUUGAGAAUACGCUGCUCUCAAUCACCGUGUCUUCUGCACCAAGUCCGUUCUCAAGCCCCCUGGAUUUAUAUCCUUGUCCGGGGAAUUCUGAACCAAGGUUGGGGAGUGGGCGCGCACACAGGGUGAAGGACAGCCUGACGUAUUCAUGCUUAGCACAGUGCACGGCGUAUAGACCACGCUCGCUGAACGCCUGAGCUAACCGAAACAAGCGUGGCAAAUAAUAUUAGACUGACCACGUCGUCAUGCGAAGGAUGUUUUUUUUUUUUUCCCCAGCAGGCCCGGUGAUUGCAAUAGUAUGGUAUGAAAGACACUCAACUGUAUUUAUUUCUUUACUGUUUGUAUGAAAGACACUCAACUGUAUUUAUUUCUUUACUGUUUCUUUUUAAGCAAGACUAUAAAGCUCUGGUUUCAGUAAAACUUGGGGAAAAAAAAAAAAAAAAAAACAGGAGGGGAAAAAGUUCCUUCCUAACCAAACAGUCAAGGUCUCUAAAUUUAAACAGUGAGAUUUCCCCUCCAAUCCCUAUUUGGUAGAAGGCUGCACUAUUAUGUAACCUUGCCUGUUGCCAAAACAGAAUGUAAAUUAGCGAAAGGUAAAAAAAACAAAAAACUGUAUGUUUAAAAAAAAAUCUUAAUUCUUUUUGAUCCUGGGGGGAAAAAAUGAAGAAAGCAACUGCCCUUCUAAUCUUUCAUUUGCCUUUUUAUUAUUAAUAUGUACAUUUGGAAUGCUUUCCCUUCACGAAAAUAUGUUAGAGGGAGAGUUAAUGUUCUUCAUAAGAUGACAGGCAGAACCUGUCAAAUGCUAUUUACAGCUUGCAGCAGAGAGCUGAAGAAUAAUUUAUUUGGCUUAUUAAGUUCUGCCUAUGCCCAAAAGCCAACGAAACUCCCAACCCCUCAAAUUCUGAAAUGUCAGAACCCUGUGAUUAAAUGUCUUGAUAUCCAC